This 300-nucleotide ribosomal RNA is filed under the name uncultured Lactobacillus sp. Its description in RNAcentral is "bacterial SSU rRNA". It matches the Rfam family "Bacterial small subunit ribosomal RNA", at positions 495 to 794 of the family's 1533-position model. Lineage: Bacteria; Bacillati; Bacillota; Bacilli; Lactobacillales; Lactobacillaceae. The record is from RNAcentral.
GGCUAACUCGGUGCCGGAGGCGGGGGUAAUAAGGGGGGUGCAAGCGUUAGCCGGAUUCACUGGGUUUAAAGGGUGUGUAGGCGGGUAUUUAAGUCCGAAGUGAAAUCUCUGAGCUCAACUCAGAAACUGCCUUGGAUACUAUUUAUCUUGAAUAUCGUUGAGGUAGGCGGAAUAUGUCAUGUAGCGGUGAAAUGCAUAGAUAUGACAUAGAACACCAAUUGCGAAGGCAGCUUGCUAAACGAUGAUUGACGCUGAGGCACGAAAGCGUGGGGAUCAAACAGGAUUAGAUACCCUAGUAGC